GACGAACGCUGGCGGCGUGCCUAACACAUGCAAGUCGAACGGAGAUGUUUAUUUCGGUAGAUAUCUUAGUGGCGCACGGGUGAGUAACGCGUGAAUAACCUGACCCGAAGAGGGGGAUAACACCUGGAAACAAGUGCUAAUACCGCAUAAGACCACAGACCGGCAUCGGUCAGAGGUCAAAGGAGAAAUCCGCUUUGGGAGGGUUCGCGUCCCAUUAGGUAGUUGGUGAGGUAACGGCCCACCAAGCCGACGAUGGGUAGCCGAGCUGAGAGGCUGAUCGGCCACACUGGAACUGAGACACGGUCCAGACUCCUACGGGAGGCAGCAGUGGGGAAUAUUGGGCAAUGGGCGCAAGCCUGACCCAGCAACGCCGCGUGAGGGAAGAAGGUUUUCGGAUUGUAAACCUCUGUCGCAGGGGACGAAGGAAGUGACGGUACCCUGUAAGAAAGCCCCGGCUAACUACGUGCCAGCAGCCGCGGUAAU
RNAcentral lists this ribosomal RNA (483 nucleotides) under uncultured bacterium. RNAcentral's name for it is "bacterial SSU rRNA". It matches the Rfam family "Bacterial small subunit ribosomal RNA", at positions 28 to 524 of the family's 1533-position model. The record is from RNAcentral.